GCGAGCCCCGCUGCGCUGCCUUUCCCGCGCCCCCGGCAGGAGCCACCGGUGUUUUCAGCGCGCGGCGCGCUGCUAGGAUGCCGUGUGUUUUCUUCCACUAGUAACGCAGUCGGAGAGAUUUCUCCCUGUGCUCGGCAGGGAUAAAUACUACAGAUCUCUCUGGGCUGAUGCCCGAUUAAGCGAAAUUACCACUUGCUGCUUUUGUUUCUCUCUGCUCAGCAGAGGGAGACUUCUCUGCAGCGGUGAGACCUCGCUCACCCGGGCGAGCUGAAACUGGGCAGACCUAAAGAGACCGUACUGAGUGUCUCAGAAACUUAAACCUGGCAAUCGGGAAGCAAUGUGUUCCUUCGGGAUCUCUUUGUAAAUGUAGUAGACAGGGCAGGGGAGAUGAGGGGUGAAAAACAGAGGUAAACGUCAGGAUUUCCCUUUUUGUCACAGUUCUAUAAAGUGACUGUAUUUUUCGGUAGUGGAAUUUAAAACAUUUCUGACCUCUUUGUGAUAUUGCUUUUCUCUUGAGCUCGUUGCAAGUGCAUCCUGCGUUUUUCCUUUAUUAAUCAUAUUUUUAAAAAUGUAAAAGAAAGGAAAUAAUUGCUUUACAUUUUACCCUAACAUAUCUUAAAUCCCUUCCCUAUCUUUCACUGUAAAUCACCUUUGCUUAUAAAUACGUUCACAGAUAAGGAAAAGGAGCAUGAUUGCACCAUGGCCUGACCUGCUCCGAUCAGUGGGACUGGUGAGGAGUCAGAGGAUCCACUCCACUGAGUGAUCGUCCCAGGAGACGGGGGUCGGAGCAAAGCGGACAUAAGGCUCAGAGUUUCCCUGGCAGAAGUGCGAGGAAUCACCCAGCAGCUUUGUUGAAAAUCGAGUUGGAGCGUGUUUUCCAUUUUCUGCUCCAGCAUAUAAUCCCCACUUUGGCUACCGUGCAUGUCAGUAAUAAAGCAUCAGAGGAACUAUAAGUAUAGCCUAAAAUUGAAGUUUGGGUCUACCUGAGCAAGAGCCAGAGAUGGUGACGGUGUGACUGACAGACCCCAAACGAGAAGCAGCCGUAUUCAGCACCAGUGAGACUCUUUUUAAUUGUGAAAAAGAGUAGAAGAACCAAGGUUAUUUGCUUGUUUUUAAAUAAAUGCGAGUGGCAGACAACUGCUCA
RNAcentral lists this long non-coding RNA (1144 nucleotides) under Struthio camelus australis. RNAcentral describes it as "lncRNA (ENSSCUG00000009617.1)". Lineage: Eukaryota; Metazoa; Chordata; Aves; Struthioniformes; Struthionidae. The record is from RNAcentral.